CCCUUAGAUGUUCUGGGCCGCACGCGUGCUACACUGAGUGGAUCAGCGGGUCAGGUUGCGCGAAAGUGUUUCCUAAUCUUGAAAUCCGCUCGUGAUGGGGAUUGACGGUUGCAAUUUUCCGUCAUGAACGAGGAAUACCUUGUAAGCGCGGGUCAUCAUCCCGCGCUGAAUACGUCCAUGCCCUUUGUACACACCGCCCGUCGCUCCUACCGAUUGAGUGGUCCGGUGAGGCUUUGGGAUCUGAGCGGAAAGAGCGUUUCGCUGUUUCUGCUCGGAAAACUCAGUCGAACCUUAUCAUUUAGAGGAAGGAGAAGUCGUAACA
Molecule: ribosomal RNA, 322 nt
Filed under: uncultured eukaryote
Lineage: Eukaryota
Description: partial 18S ribosomal RNA
Rfam family: Eukaryotic small subunit ribosomal RNA
Source: RNAcentral